Molecule: ribosomal RNA, 686 nt
Filed under: Specklinia macayensis
Lineage: Eukaryota; Viridiplantae; Streptophyta; Magnoliopsida; Asparagales; Orchidaceae
Description: eukaryotic LSU rRNA
Rfam family: 5.8S ribosomal RNA (bases 256-411)
Source: RNAcentral
GUAGGUGAACCUGCGGAAGGAUCAUUGUCGAGACCGAAUAUAUCGAGCGAUUCGGAAGAACCUGUGAAUGAAUGAGCGGCGGCAUCGUCGUCGCGCAAAUGCCGCCUCCAUCUCCGGCCUUGUUAAAGUGCCGUCGAUGAGAGUCGGAUGAAAACUCAAACCGGCGCAGCUGCGCGCCAAGGAAAUACAAAUAUACACGAUCCUGUAUUGGGUUCGGUGGCGUGGAGUGCAGUCGCACACCACACGGAUAAAAACGACUCUCGGCAAUGGAUAUCUCGGCUCUCGCAUCGAUGAAGAGCGCAGCGAAAUGCGAUACGUGGUGCGAAUUGCAGAAUCCCGCGAACCAUCGAGAAUUUGAACGCAAGUUGCGCCCGAGGCCAGCCGGCCAAGGGCACGUCCGCCUGGGCGUCAAGCGUUACGUCGCUCCGUGCCAGCUCCGUGCCACCCGACGGGUGUGUAUGGGGAGGGUCGGAUGUGCAGAGUGGCUCGUCGUGCCCGCGGGCGUGGCGGGCUUAAGAUCGGGUGAUCGUCUCGUUUGCCACGAACGAUAAGGGUGGAUGAAAAUUGUGCCUGUGUUGUAUCGUGGCGACGUGUAGAAGAGAUUGUACCCAGCAGAUGAUCCCAAUCUAAGCGUCGUUCCACAGACGUCGGCUUGGAAUGCGACCCCAGGAUGGGCGAGGCCACCC